Molecule: ribosomal RNA, 399 nt
Filed under: uncultured bacterium
Lineage: Bacteria
Description: bacterial SSU rRNA
Rfam family: Bacterial small subunit ribosomal RNA
Source: RNAcentral
UAUUGGACAAUGGGGGGAACCCUGAUCCAGCGACGCGGCGCGAGUGAAGAAGUAUUUCGGUAUGUAAAGCUCUAUCAGCAGGGAAGAAAGAAAUGACGGUACCUGACUAAGAAGCACCGGCUAACUACGUGCCAGCAGCCGCGGUAAUACGUAGGGGGCAAGCGUGAUCCGGAAUUACUGGGGGUAAAGGGAGCGUAGACGGUGAUGUAAGUCUUGAGUGAAAGGCGGGGGCCCAACCCCCGGACUGCUCUGGAAACUAUGUGACUGGAGUGCAGGAGAGGUGAGCGGAAUUCCUAGUGUAGCGGUGAAAUGCGUAGAUAUUAGGAGGAACACCAGUGGCGAAGGCGGCUCACUGGACUGUAACUGACGUUGAGGCUCGAAAGCGUGGGGAGCAAACAG